Triticum aestivum (bread wheat) is the source of this 135-nucleotide non-coding RNA. NCBI's taxonomy places the organism in Eukaryota, Viridiplantae, Streptophyta, Magnoliopsida, Poales, Poaceae. The record is from Rfam.
AAAGUACUCCCUCCAUCCCAAAAUUCUUGUCUUAGAUUUGUCUAGAUACGGAUGUAUCAAGUCACAUUUUAGUAUUAGAUACAUCCAUAUCUAGACAAAUCUAAGACAAGAAAUUUGGGACAGAGGGAGUAGUUG